This is a microRNA precursor of Oryza sativa Japonica Group (Japanese rice), 192 nucleotides long. It matches the Rfam family "MIR812 microRNA precursor family". The record is from Rfam. NCBI's taxonomy places the organism in Eukaryota, Viridiplantae, Streptophyta, Magnoliopsida, Poales, Poaceae.
AAUAAGUGCAGCCAUAAGUUCUCUACCUAACUUUGAUCAUCCGUCUUAUUUAAUUUUUUUUUAUAAUUAGUAUUUUUAUUGUUAUUAGAUUAUAAAAUAUGAUGCGUGACUUAUUCUUUAUAUUUUUUUAAAAAAAAUAAAAUAAGACGAACGAUCAGGUUUCAGGUAGUACAAUUUCUAUUCCCACCUACC